UACGGGGGGGGCAAGCGUUGUUCGGAAUUACUGGGCGUAAAGGGCGCGUAGGCGGCCUUCUAAGUCGGACGUGAAAUCCCUCGGCUUAACCGAGGAACUGCGUCCGAUACUGAAAGGCUUGAAUCCGGGAGAGGGAUGUGGAAUUCCAGGUGUAGCGGUGAAAUGCGUAGAUAUCUGGAGGAACACCGGUGGCGAAGGCGGCAUCCUGGACCGGUAUUGACGCUGAGGCGCGAAAGCCAGGGGGGCAAACGGG
RNAcentral lists this ribosomal RNA (253 nucleotides) under uncultured bacterium. RNAcentral's name for it is "partial 16S ribosomal RNA". It matches the Rfam family "Bacterial small subunit ribosomal RNA", at positions 524 to 776 of the family's 1533-position model. The record is from RNAcentral.